RNAcentral lists this ribosomal RNA (1484 nucleotides) under Helicobacter pylori HPARG63. RNAcentral describes it as "bacterial SSU rRNA". It matches the Rfam family "Bacterial small subunit ribosomal RNA". Lineage: Bacteria; Pseudomonadati; Campylobacterota; Epsilonproteobacteria; Campylobacterales; Helicobacteraceae. The record is from RNAcentral.
AGAGUUUGAUCCUGGCUCAGAGUGAACGCUGGCGGCGUGCCUAAUACAUGCAAGUCGAACGAUGAAGCUUCUAGCUUGCUAGAAUGCUGAUUAGUGGCGCACGGGUGAGUAACGCAUAGGUUAUGUGCCUCUUAGUUUGGGAUAGCCAUUGGAAACGAUGAUUAAUACCAGAUACUCCCUACGGGGGAAAGAUUUAUCGCUAAGAGAUCAGCCUAUGUCCUAUCAGCUUGUUGGUAAGGUAAUGGCUUACCAAGGCUAUGACGGGUAUCCGGCCUGAGAGGGUGAACGGACACACUGGAACUGAGACACGGUCCAGACUCCUACGGGAGGCAGCAGUAGGGAAUAUUGCUCAAUGGGGGAAACCCUGAAGCAGCAACGCCGCGUGGAGGAUGAAGGUUUUAGGAUUGUAAACUCCUUUUGUUAGAGAAGAUAAUGACGGUAUCUAACGAAUAAGCACCGGCUAACUCCGUGCCAGCAGCCGCGGUAAUACGGAGGGUGCAAGCGUUACUCGGAAUCACUGGGCGUAAAGAGCGCGUAGGCGGGAUAGUCAGUCAGGUGUGAAAUCCUAUGGCUUAACCAUAGAACUGCAUUUGAAACUACUAUUCUAGAGUGUGGGAGAGGUAGGUGGAAUUCUUGGUGUAGGGGUAAAAUCCGUAGAGAUCAAGAGGAAUACUCAUUGCGAAGGCGACCUGCUGGAACAUUACUGACGCUGAUUGCGCGAAAGCGUGGGGAGCAAACAGGAUUAGAUACCCUGGUAGUCCACGCCCUAAACGAUGGAUGCUAGUUGUUGGAGGGCUUAGUCUCUCCAGUAAUGCAGCUAACGCAUUAAGCAUCCCGCCUGGGGAGUACGGUCGCAAGAUUAAAACUCAAAGGAAUAGACGGGGACCCGCACAAGCGGUGGAGCAUGUGGUUUAAUUCGAAGAUACACGAAGAACCUUACCUAGGCUUGACAUUGAGAGAAUCCGCUAGAAAUAGUGGAGUGUCUGGCUUGCCAGACCUUGAAAACAGGUGCUGCACGGCUGUCGUCAGCUCGUGUCGUGAGAUGUUGGGUUAAGUCCCGCAACGAGCGCAACCCCCUUUCUUAGUUGCUAACAGGUCAUGCUGAGAACUCUAAGGAUACUGCCUCCGUAAGGAGGAGGAAGGUGGGGACGACGUCAAGUCAUCAUGGCCCUUACGCCUAGGGCUACACACGUGCUACAAUGGGGUGCACAAAGAGAAGCAAUACUGCGAAGUGGAGCCAAUCUUCAAAACGCCUCUCAGUUCGGAUUGCAGGCUGCAACUCGCCUGCAUGAAGCUGGAAUCGCUAGUAAUCGCAAAUCAGCCAUGUUGCGGUGAAUACGUUCCCGGGUCUUGUACUCACCGCCCGUCACACCAUGGGAGUUGUGUUUGCCUUAAGUCAGGAUGCUAAAUUAGCUACUGCCCACGGCACACACAGCGACUGGGGUGAAGUCGUAACAAGGUAACCGUAGGUGAACCUGCGGUUG